AUUAUUGUUGUUGUUGAAGCCUAUGAAACUACCAUGGAAGUUUGACUCCAUGCAAUACAGUACAUGAGUGCUAAGAAAUGCCCAAGGCUGCUGUCAAUCAAAUUAGCUGGGAACAUACGUGGAAUGAGGAGGAAGGGAGUGAAGAGGAAAAGCUUCAAGUGAUGAGAGUUCAUGCUGAGUAAGCCAUCUUACGGAAAAGAGGUGAAGGUUCAGCUUCAGUAAAGUCCACAGACGUGGAGCUAAGUUUAUUAGCACGUCUGUGCUGACUUCAGCAAAUGGCACAGAAAGAAAUGGAUCAAGCAUGAGUACUUAUGGUCACAAAGGUAAUAACAGCUAAAACAAGGAAUGUU
This 350-nucleotide long non-coding RNA is filed under the name Aotus nancymaae (Ma's night monkey). Its description in RNAcentral is "lncRNA (ENSANAG00000039091.1)". The record is from RNAcentral. Lineage: Eukaryota; Metazoa; Chordata; Mammalia; Primates; Aotidae.